GACGAACGCUGGCGGCGUGCUUAACACAUGCAAGUCGAACGGAAAGGCCCUGCUUUUGUGGGGUGCUCGAGUGGCGAACGGGUGAGUAACACGUGAGUAACCUGCCCUUGACUUUGGGAUAACUUCAGGAAACUGGGGCUAAUACCGGAUAGGAGCUCCUGCUGCAUGGUGGGGGUUGGAAAGUUUCGGCGGUUGGGGAUGGACUCGCGGCUUAUCAGUUUGUUGGUGGGGUAGUGGUUUAACAAGGCGUUGACGGGUAGCCGGGCUGAGAGGGUGACCGGCCACAUUGGGACUGAGAUGCGGCCCAGACUCCUACGGGAGGCAGCAGUGGGGAAUAUUGCACAAUGGGCGGAAGCCUGAUGCAGCAACGCCGCGUGCGGGAUGACGGCCUUCGGGUUGUAAACCGCUUUCGCCUGUGACGAAGCGUGAGUGACGGUAAUGGGUAAAGAAGCACCGGCUAACUACGUG
Molecule: ribosomal RNA, 468 nt
Filed under: uncultured bacterium
Lineage: Bacteria
Description: partial 16S ribosomal RNA
Rfam family: Bacterial small subunit ribosomal RNA
Source: RNAcentral